GACGAACGCUGGCGGCGUGCUUAACACAUGCAAGUCGAACGGAAAGGCCCUGCUUUUGUGGGGUGCUCGAGUGGCGAACGGGUGAGUAACACGUGAGUAACCUGCCCUUGACUUUGGGAUAACUUCAGGAAACUGGGGCUAAUACCGGAGAGGAGCUCCCGCUGCAUGGUGGGGGUUGGAAAGUUUCGGCGGUUGGGGAUGGACUCGCGGCUUAUCAGCUUGUUGGUGGGGUAGUGGCUUACCAAGGGUUUGACGGGUAGCCGGCCUGAGAGGGUGACCGGGCACAAUGGUACUGAGAUACGGACCAGACUCCUACGGGAGGCAGUAGUCGGGAGUAUGGCCCAAUGGGGGGAAGCCUGAUGCAGCAACGCCGCGUGCGGGAUGACGUCCUUCGGGUUGUAAACCGCUUUCGCCUGUGACGAAGCGUGAGUGACGGUAAUAGGUAAAGAAGCACCGGCUAACUACGUG
RNAcentral lists this ribosomal RNA (468 nucleotides) under uncultured bacterium. RNAcentral describes it as "partial 16S ribosomal RNA". It matches the Rfam family "Bacterial small subunit ribosomal RNA", at positions 28 to 507 of the family's 1533-position model. The record is from RNAcentral.